AUGACUGUCUCAAACUGUGCCCAGGGUAUUUGCCAGCCUGCUUUAGAGCUGGCAGCUGCAGAAGUGUUCUCCCAUUUGAGAUGUCUGCCUUUUUGGAUUAGAUUACAAAUCAACUCUGUUUCUUGGGACCAGCAUCCCAUCCGGCAUGCUCUGAAGAACUGCAGUCUUUCAUGGGGAAACUUAGGCGUCCCACAGAAUUGCUCCCGUCUGAAAACAAUGAGGCAAUUCACUGGCCAAGUGUCCUCCAAUGGACAGAAAACACGAGUCUUAAUCUGAAAAGUUUCAAAUAAGGGAGACUUGCAAUGUUUGUCAAAAGUUCCUUAACCUACCCAUCGAGAGAACAGACCCUUGUUGGGAUGGGGAGAAUGGACUGGGUUGGAAGACAGAAGGGAGCAAAAGCAGAAGCUGUCUGUUUAUCUGAUUCUCCAAACUAAACUCUACAGCUAGUAUUAAUCACAGGCAGUUGCUCAUCUUGUUCAAACAGCACAUACAGGCUGGCAGGCUGUGAGCUAUUGGCUGUAUUUAAAUGGAGCUGUGGGAUAUUGCUGGGUGUCAACCUCUUCGUGCCUUAUCAUGUUCAACAUGGAUUAAGCUCACCAAGCAGGGCUCUCUUUCUGGAACAAGUCGUGACAGCUAACUGUGCUCUUUCUGCACCACAAGAGUGAAGGCAUUACUGCCAUUGAAUAUUAAACUUUGAUGACUCAGUAGGCUGAGCCUUAUUUCUAGCAACUGGGAGGAGGAAAACUCUGCACCAGGCCUGUUUUUUUUUUUGAAUGCCCAGAACAAGUCAUAUGCAUUUUCCUAACACUUGUCCCACAUUUGGUUCUCAAUCUUAGUUUAUACUGCAGCAGACCAGCAUAUUAUUAUUACCUAAAAUGCAUUUGUCUUUUCCAUCAGAUGGAGAACUUCUCAGAUAAAGACACUUAUAUUUCCUCUUGUGGCCUACCAUUUUAUCGCCCAUACUUGGAAAUUAAUGGGGGAUUAAUAAAUAGUGUCCCAUAUGGUGCUGGUCCA
Molecule: long non-coding RNA, 1014 nt
Filed under: Oryctolagus cuniculus (rabbit)
Lineage: Eukaryota; Metazoa; Chordata; Mammalia; Lagomorpha; Leporidae
Description: lncRNA (ENSOCUG00000030016.1)
Source: RNAcentral